AUGAUUUAUUACUUCUCUGAAAAAUAUUUUCCUGCUCAUAAGAAACAAGCUGCCUUACAGAAAAUAUUUAACUUUGCUCAAACUAAAGAAGAGAGUCUCCCACAAGCUUGGGGGAGGCUUGUCCAUUUACUUAAUGCUUUGCCUGAUCAUCCUCUUAAGAAAAAUGAAAUACUUGAUAUCUUCUAUAAUGGACUAACUGAUGCUUCUAGGGACUUCCUAGAUAGUUGUGCUUGUUGUGUUUUCAGGGAACGAACUAUUGCUCAAGCUGAAGAAUUAUUGAAUAACAUAUUGAAAACUUAUGAUGAUUGGACUCUUCCUGAACCACCGGCUAAACCCACUCCAAAGAAGAGGGGUGUAUUAUAUCAAGGAAAAAGGUAUUAA
RNAcentral lists this ribosomal RNA (381 nucleotides) under Triticum aestivum (bread wheat). RNAcentral's name for it is "partial small subunit ribosomal RNA". The record is from RNAcentral. Lineage: Eukaryota; Viridiplantae; Streptophyta; Magnoliopsida; Poales; Poaceae.